Solanum dulcamara is the source of this 873-nucleotide long non-coding RNA. RefSeq lists it as uncharacterized. The transcript is spliced from 2 exons. The record is from RefSeq and is a predicted model, not a curated record. Lineage: Eukaryota; Viridiplantae; Streptophyta; Magnoliopsida; Solanales; Solanaceae.
UUCUAUUCUAAAUCUUGGGUCUAUUACUUCUCCCCACUUUAGGCCUAUUGGGCCUUUAACAUAGCCUCAAAAAGGCCUGUAAGUGAAGCCCUAAUAGUAUACCCAUUGAUCGCAAAAAACCUGAAAUCUCGAAGUUCUUCAGCAAAUCGACUCGAAUCGAACAAGAGAGAGAGAGAGAGAGAGCGCAAAGAUGAAUUCAAUGGUGGCUUUGGGGAAGAAAUUCACGAGAAAUAUUCAAGAUAACAAACGCAGGCUGUUAUCAGCUAAGUAUGAAUUGAGGCGAAAGUUGUAUAAAGCCUUUGUUCAAGAUCCUGAGCUUCCCCCUGAAAUGAGAGAAGCUCAUCGUUACAAGCUCUCAAAGCUGCCAAGGAACAGCUCCUUUACACGAAUCAGAAAUCGUUGCAUUUUUACCGGUCGCCCUCGUGCUGUUUAUGAAAAGUUUCGAAUGUCUCGUAUUGUUUUCCGUGGUUUGGCUGCUCGGGGUGCUUUGCAGGGUGUAAAGAAAGCUUCUUGGUAGACAAUACCCAGGAUUUCUUCUUUUCAAGAUUUAGGAGUACUACUACUGGAUCUCAUAUACUAAAGCCAAGUAGAUUAUAGUGGGACAAAGUUUUCUAUUUCAGGAGUUGGCUCAGCUUUACAAAUAAUUGUCAUGUUACAGUCUCUAGCUCGUCCCACAUUCGGGAUUUGUUUUUGCCAGUAUAUUUUUCUUCAUCUUUGCCUCAAGAUUUCUGGAUGUUCUUAAUCUGCUUGGUAGAACUUUGCUAAAGCUUUUCACUGUCUUUGAAACUUUUGAUUUAUGAGCAGACCUGUACUCUAUUUCUAGCUUUGAACUAACUGCUUAUCAGGGAUUUGCAUGCAUCAUGCAUCUGUCUA